AUACGUAGGGGACGAGCGUUGUCCGGAUUUACUGGGCGUAAAGGGCGCGUAGGCGGUCAUUUAAGUCAGCUGUGAAAUGGUUUGGCUUAACCGGAUCAUGCGGUUGAAACUGGAUGACUGGAGUGCUGGAGAGGCAAGUGGAAUUCCUAGUGUAGCGGUGAAAUGCGUAGAUAUUAGGAGGAACACCAGUGGCGAAGGCGGCUUACUGGACUGUAACUGACGUUGAGGCUCGAAAGCGU
This 239-nucleotide ribosomal RNA is filed under the name uncultured bacterium. RNAcentral describes it as "partial 16S ribosomal RNA". It matches the Rfam family "Bacterial small subunit ribosomal RNA", at positions 523 to 762 of the family's 1533-position model. The record is from RNAcentral.